UUGAACGCUGGCGGCAUGCCUUACACAUGCAAGUCGAACGGCAGCACGGGGGCAACCCUGGUGGCGAGUGGCGAACGGGUGAGUAAUACAUCGGAACGUGCCCUGAAGUGGGGGAUAACGUAGCGAAAGUUACGCUAAUACCGCAUAUUCUGUGAGCAGGAAAGCAGGGGAUCGCAAGACCUCGCGCGAUUGGAGUGGCCGAUAUCUGAUUAGCUAGAUGGUGGGGUAAAGGCUCACCAUGGCGACGAUCAGUAGCUGGUCUGAGAGGAUGAUCAGCCACACUGGGACUGAGACACGGCCCAGACUCCGACGGGAGGCAGCAGUGGGGAAUUUUGGACAAUGGGCGCAAGCCUGAUCCAGCCAUUCCGCGUGAGUGAAGAAGGCCUUCGGGUUGUAAAGCUCUUUCGGCAGGAACGAAACGGUGGGAUCUAAUACAUACCACUAAUGACGGUACCUGAAGAAGAAGCACCGGCUAACUACGU
Molecule: ribosomal RNA, 482 nt
Filed under: uncultured bacterium
Lineage: Bacteria
Description: bacterial SSU rRNA
Rfam family: Bacterial small subunit ribosomal RNA
Source: RNAcentral